GUGGGGAAUAUUGGACAAUGGGCGAAAGCCUGAUCCAGCCAUGCCGCGUGUGUGAAGAAGGUCUUCGGAUUGUAAAGCACUUUAAGUUGGGAGGAAGGGCAGUAAGUUAAUACCUUGCUGUUUUGACGUUACCGACAGAAUAAGCACCGGCUAACUUCGUGCCAGCAGCCGCGGUAAUACGAAGGGUGCAAGCGUUAAUCGGAAUUACUGGGCGUAAAGCGCGCGUAGGUGGUUUUGUAAGUUGGAGGUGAAAUCCCCGGGCUCAACCUGGGAAAUACCUCCAAAACUGCAUGACUAGAGUACGGUAGAGGGUAGUGGAAUUUCCUGUGUAGCGGUGAAAUGCGUAGAUAUAGGAAGGAACACCAGUGGCGAAGGCGACUACCUGGACUGAUACUGACACUGAGGUGCGAAAGCGUGGGGAGCAAACAGGAUUAGAAACCCGAGUAGUCC
RNAcentral lists this ribosomal RNA (450 nucleotides) under uncultured bacterium. RNAcentral describes it as "bacterial SSU rRNA". It matches the Rfam family "Bacterial small subunit ribosomal RNA", at positions 354 to 796 of the family's 1533-position model. The record is from RNAcentral.